AUACCAUACUGACCUUUUAAGUAUGCUUAAUAAAUAAGAUUUUUAUUGGUAUUAUAUGUAAACAUCAACAAGUGCACACACAUGCCUAUAUAAAAGAAUGGCAUCAACUAUCAUUACUCUCUCCUUGUCUAUUUAUGUGACAUUUUUGCCUAGCUACAAUGAUAAGAAACCAAAAAUCAUUUUCCCCCUUGUUUGUUUGAGUUAUUCUGACAAGCAGAGUUGUGCCACUGUUUUUGAAAAUUCAGGAUACUUUGUAUAAAAGAGAUUUUCAAAGUAUCGUGUCAUUAUGGCUAGAUACGUUCUGUGGUCAUAAUUUCAUCAUAUUUUAGGUUUAUAUUAAAUGCUGGACUUUUGCCCACGAGUUGCGCGGAUAUAAUCAUUAUUAGUAUAUAUUAUUUAGUUGAAUGGAAAUACGAGUAUAUAACAUUUUCUGUUCUUAUAUUUAAUUUAUUUAAAAUAUUUUAAGAUAUGUUUGUAAAAGAAACUGUGAAAAUAUAAACGGAAUAAAUGCGAAGAAUAAAUAAUAUUUUGAAAAUAAAUACAAAGAAUAAAGAAUAAAAUGCCA
This 565-nucleotide unclassified non-coding RNA is filed under the name Hevea brasiliensis (rubber tree). The record is from RNAcentral. Lineage: Eukaryota; Viridiplantae; Streptophyta; Magnoliopsida; Malpighiales; Euphorbiaceae.